CACACACACCCACACACACAAACAAAAUCACAUUUGUGGAAUAGUAACACAGGAACCGACCGCCCCAGGAGACCAAUGACGCCGACACUGUGCGCCCGGAGACCAGUCUCCGGGGCGUGCAGGACGCCCUCGACGAUCCGCACGCCACGCAUGCACUGGGACACGGGACUCCUGAACCGGAGGCCGCACGCUCCAGGGAACUGGGCCGACACCGUCGACAGCAGAACGGUGCCGUCGUCCUCAGACGGGAUCUCCAUUGGCUCCUCGUUCUCCUCCUCGGCCACUCGGACGUACACUUCGGCCAUUUGUUACGACGAUUGGGUUACGACGUCUAAUGUAACUAGAGGCACUGGACGAGUCUAGCAAAGUUUUUAAAUGAAUGAUUAAGACGAAUUAUUGCAUGUAAUUGCGGGUGUUUUUUAGGGUUAAACAUAAAUUAUCUGAGGUGAGAGCGAAGAAGAAUCGAGUUACACUUGCGGGUCGGUUCUUUGUUCGUUCCAACAGUGUUGAAUAUCAACAACACACUAAAAGUACCUCGUAACGGCAUUAACGUCCACGAAAACUCGACAAAAGCAAAAAAAAAACCAACAAAAAAACGUCCUCGUCUUUUCACUGCACGGCAGCAAUUGUGUUUCUAUACGAUAUCGUCUCACCCUGAAAUACGACACUAGUGUUUUGUUGUUGUUCCACGGGGUACAACACUCACACCGCCAUAUACGUUCGUCGAAACAGGAUUACCUAAGAGAAGCAGGAAACGCGUAAUCAAAAACGGACGGAUUUAUUUGACGGAGGUGAAUUAAUCAUUGUUUCGUUGUUGUUUCACGUCGCAAAACACCACUUAAGAGCAGCCCUUUUAAUUCGAAACUCUACUCAAAUUCAAAAGAGUUGCGGCCCCGAACAUGUUUUAUGAUUUUAGUUUCUUUUGUUAUUUGCAGUCUUUUUUAUUGUACAACCACCCCAUUUUGAAUCCUGACAUGGUACAGUCCCCACAGCUAGACUGUUCCGAAACGACAGCAAGAUGGCCGUCCACCUGCAUUCGGUGUAAACAAUAACAAUCAAAUCGUGUCGGAUUUUGUGGCCGAGGAGAUUGUUCCUUUGUGACAAUUUUCAUAUCACAUUGUACAUAUAUAAUAUAGUUUAAUCUAUGUUGCUUAUGUAACAGAUGAGCGUUGAAUAAUAAAAACCGAGAGUACUCCUCACUGUAAAGUAAAAGCGCACAGCAUGGUGUCGGUGGUGGUUUGGAAGUCAAUCGCGCCAGCCAAAAAGUUCUAAAGUUUUGGGUUCGAAUUUCAGCUCCGGUCUUCCAGUCUCCCCUACUUUGUUUCCUCAUGAAAUCAAAUUGAUUAAAAUGUAUUCUCAUAAAAUAAUUUUCUGAAAAUUAUUUUCACUCAAAUGUAAAGGCAUCGUGCCUCCGUGCGGUUUCUCCCAUAUUCCAGAAACUUGCAUGACAAGCUAAAGAAACACUUAAUAUUGUCCCUAGGCGUGAGCGUGAGUGCGGAUGGUUGUUCGUCUGUGUGUGUGUCCUGUGAUUGGCUGUCACCCAGUUCAGGGUGAACCCCAACUACUGCCCGAAGACUAGCUGGGAUAGCCCGCAGCAAGACCGCGACCCUUGUUAAAAUAAGAUGAUAUGGAAAUGGUGGUGGAUGUAAACACAUCUGAUUCACAGUAGAGGUUCUGGGUUUGAAUCUGUCACUUGCAUGUUCUCCUCGGAUUCUCCCACAUUGUAAAAUCAUGAUUGUUCGCUUCAUUAAGACUGAGAUUGUGAAGGGUUGUCUUGUUUUUAUGUCCGCCUGCAAGUGAUUGGUGAUCAAUGUACAAUGUAUUGUAUAAGUCAGUGGUUCUCAACCCUUUUUCAUUGAUGUACCUCUUGUGUUCUUUUCGAACCAAACACCCAGUGUAAAGCGUUUUGAAUGAAGAAAAAAAAAACAGAUAGCCAAAUAGGUCCAUGGGACUGCAAAAACAACACUGCAAGAUAACUCUCAAACAGCUUUUUUUAAUUACAUCUUCAAUCAAUAACAGUACAUUUUAGUACAGUAUCUAACUUGCAUCCAGCUCACCGUGGAACACCAAGAGACUGAAAGGAAAUACCAAAAAAAAAAGUGGAAAGCUACAUAAAGGUGCAGAGCUCUAGUAUAUUCAUGGAAACAAGGUGGAGGGAGCAGGAAAAUCCAUCUGGAGUUGAAUCGCAUUUUCACUGGUGGCCACACACACAAAAUACAUUACAUUUAUUGAAGUACAUCAUUGUAGAGAAAGGAAAAAGUGAGAAUGUCACACAUUAACAAAAGUGCUUCUGUAUACAGUGAAAUGUUGCCAUUCAGAUGUUUGUCUUUUUCAAUUUAAGACCAAAAGAAAAUAGAAAAAAGGGUAAUAUGGACACUGUGUAUGUGUGUUUUGUUCCAUUAAGUGAAGAUUUGAAAGAGAGAAAAAAGCUUUCCAAAAAUAAAUUAUCAGAAUGAUCGUUAUAUUCUGAAAGGUUUGCGUCAAUAUAACUGGUAAGCAUAUUUGAGACUAGAUAUGCCGUCUCUUGCUCACCAUGACGCAUAGCAUUACCAGUUAUUGGUAUGGAGAGUCGGAGCCCCAAAAAUGACUGAUUAGGUUCAAAUCAGUAGGAACCAAAACGGAAAAAAAAAUCUAGGACUGUUUUCUUUUUAAUUUAUUUUUAUUAUUUUAGCACCACUGAAAGCAAGUCUACAGCAUGCACAUCUAAAUUGUGUCGGACAAAAUUUAAUGUCUCAACUUAAAAACAGAUCAUAUCUUCCAGACAUUGAUUUUUUUUUUGUACAUUUCAUUCACAGAGUUGCAACUGCAGUCCCAACCAAAGGAAGUGUCUAUUUAGUAAAGUGAGGCGUUUCACCCAAAAAAGUGGAUACUAAACACAAGACCCGAAACCUCCCCACCCACCCCAAUUCAUAUAAAAUCAAACUGCCCCUUCCUCUGCCCGAGAUAAUCUCAGCACCUGCCUCGCUGCACUAUUUCUUCCCACCCAAAGUCAAUGGCAUGUAAAAUAAUUAAAGAGGGAGAGAUGUGGGGGUUAUACCUGGACAAAGUUACUCAAAAGAACUCCUUUUUGCACCGGAAUGAGUAUUCAUAACUUAGAGCAUGUGCUUGGUUAGUUAACAUUGGAUUAGUUGAGAGGCAAAGCUUCAUGUGCAAAAGGCUGUGAUGGAAACAAAAAGAAGAACAAAAACCCCAGCUAGUAUAUAAAUACAUUAGUCAUUUUGGAAAAGCUGCUUGUGUAAUAUGAGCUUUUUUUUUUAACUUCUGCAUGUUUUUCUCUCAUCGCUCAUUCGUGAUUUAACUGGAUUAGAAAGGACAAGGUGUCAUUCAAACAUAUCUAAAACCACUAAAGAAAUA
Hippocampus zosterae (dwarf seahorse) is the source of this 3354-nucleotide long non-coding RNA. RefSeq lists it as uncharacterized. The transcript has 2 exons. NCBI's taxonomy places the organism in Eukaryota, Metazoa, Chordata, Actinopteri, Syngnathiformes, Syngnathidae. The record is from RefSeq and is a predicted model, not a curated record.